This 406-nucleotide ribosomal RNA is filed under the name uncultured bacterium. Its description in RNAcentral is "partial 16S ribosomal RNA". It matches the Rfam family "Bacterial small subunit ribosomal RNA", at positions 29 to 526 of the family's 1533-position model. The record is from RNAcentral.
AUUGAACGCUGGCGGCAGGCCUAACACAUGCAAGUCGAACGAGUGGCGGACGGGUGAGUAAUGUCUGGGAAACUGCCUGAUGGAGGGGGAUAACUACUGGAAACGGUAGCUAAUACCGCAUACCAUCGGAUGUGCCCAGAUGGGAUUAGCUAGUGGGUGGGGUAAAGGCUCACCUAGGCGCCGAUCCCUAGCUGGGCUGAGAGGAUGACCAGCAACACUGGAACUGAGACACGGUGCAGAGUCCGACGGGAGGCAGCAGUGGGGAAUAUUGCACAAUGGGCGCAAGCCUGAUGCAGCCAUGCCGCGUGUAUGAAGAAGGCCUUCGGGUUGUAAAGUACGUUCAGCGGGGAGGCGUUACCCGCAGAAGAAGCAACGGCUAACUCCGGGCCAGCAGCCGCGGUAAUAC